RNAcentral lists this ribosomal RNA (876 nucleotides) under Triticum aestivum (bread wheat). RNAcentral's name for it is "partial small subunit ribosomal RNA". The record is from RNAcentral. Lineage: Eukaryota; Viridiplantae; Streptophyta; Magnoliopsida; Poales; Poaceae.
AUGUCCAAGGAGGAGGUGAUCGCCGGCGGCGACACGGCCGACGUGGCCGUGGAGAAGGCGCCCUACUGGGACCCGCCGCCGGCCCCGCUGCUGGACACGAGCGAGCUGACCCGGUGGUCGCUGUACCGCGCGGUCAUCGCCGAGUUCGUGGCCACGCUCAUCUUCCUCUACGUCAGCCUCGCCACCGUCAUCGGCUACAAGAGCCAGUCCGCCGCCCAGCCGGGCACCGGCGUCGGGUACCUCGGCGUCGCCUGGGCCUUCGGCGCCACCAUCUUCGUCCUCGUCUACUGCACCGGCGGCGUCUCAGGUGGCCACAUCAACCCGGCGGUGACGUUCGGGCUGUUCGUGGGGAGGAAGCUGUCGCUGGUGCGCACGGUGCUGUACAUCGUGGCGCAGUGCCUCGGCGCCAUCUGCGGCGCCGGCAUGGUGAAGGGGAUCGCGGGGGCCAGCUACGAGACCCUCGGCGGCGGCGCGAACUCGGUGGCCGACGGCGUCUCGAUCGGGGCAGGGCUCGGCGCGGAGAUCGCCGGCACGUUCGUGCUGGUGUACACCGUGCUCUCCGCCACCGACCCCAAGCGCACCGCGCGCGACUCCUUCAUCCCCGUGCUGGUGCCGCUGCCCAUCGGCUUUGCCGUGUUCAUCGUGCACCUGGCCACCAUACCCAUCACCGGCACCGGCAUCAACCCGGCCAGGAGCCUCGGCGCCGCCGUCAUGUACAACCAGCACAAGGCAUGGAAGGACCACUGGAUAUUCUGGGUGGGGCCGCUCCUCGGCGCGACGGUGGCUGCGUUGUACCACCGGUUCGUGCUGCGCGGCGAGGCCGCCAAGGCGCUGGGCUCGUUCAGGAGCACCGGCGCCGCCACCGCACGAACCUAA